This 300-nucleotide ribosomal RNA is filed under the name uncultured Amycolatopsis sp. RNAcentral describes it as "bacterial SSU rRNA". The stretch from base 52 to 300 matches the Rfam family "Bacterial small subunit ribosomal RNA", at positions 547 to 795 of the family's 1533-position model. Lineage: Bacteria; Bacillati; Actinomycetota; Actinomycetes; Pseudonocardiales; Pseudonocardiaceae. The record is from RNAcentral.
GCUACGGCACGGCAGGCGACGGCGGUGGUACGGAGGGGCGUAGCGUGAAGGGGAGUGAGUGGGGGGAAAGCGUGCGCGGGCGGUUUGUUAAGCGAGAUGGGAAAGCCCUGGGCUCAACCUAGGAAUAGCAUUUCGAACUGUCGAACUAGAGUCUUGUAGAGGGGGGUAGAAUUCCAGGUGUAGCGGUGAAAUGCGUAGAGAUCUGGAGGAAUACCGGUGGCGAAGGCGGCCCCCUGGACAAAGACUGACGCUCAUGCACGAAAGCGUGGGGAGCAAACAGGAUUAGAUACCCCGGUAGUC